Molecule: long non-coding RNA, 37658 nt
Filed under: Setaria italica (foxtail millet)
Lineage: Eukaryota; Viridiplantae; Streptophyta; Magnoliopsida; Poales; Poaceae
Description: long non-coding RNA (SITA_LNC001762)
Source: RNAcentral
UCAGGCGAGUCCGACGAGCUUCUCGCUGAUCUCCCAGAGCUUCCUCGCCUUCUCCGGGUCGCUGGCCUCCUGCGAGAGCUGGUUCUCGAACGACGCCGAGUCCUUGUUCCAGCUCCAGUACACCCCCGACUUGGUGAGGCUGGGGUCGCUGACCACCUGCGCCAGCCUCUUGCCGGACUCCGCCUCCGAGACGAACCCCUUGGUGAUGAACUUCUGGAACGGCGGGAAGAGCAGGCGGAAGAGCGGGAUGUGCUCGCGGAACAGCCCCGUGGUGGCGAUGCACCCCGGGUAGAGCGACGCGAAGGUGAUACCCGUCUCCUCGUGGUAGCGGCGGUGGAGCUCCUGCAUGGUGAGCAUGUUGCAGAUCUUGCUGUCCUUGUACGCCUUGGCGCCGUCGAAGCUCUCGGAGCCGUCGAUCAUGGCGGACCCGUUCUGGCCGCGCAGGCCGCCGGCGAGCCCCCGGAGGUCGCCCAGCCCAGCCUUGGGCGGGAUGUUCCCGGCCAGCGUGUUGGUGUUGCCGGUGAUGGAGCCGAGGAUGAUGAGGCGGCGCGACGGGUAGUCGGACUUCUGGAGGUCGUCGAGGAGCAGGCGCGCGAGGAGGAAGUGGCCCAGGUGGUUGACGCCCACGCUCAUCUCGUACCCGUCGGCGGUGAACGUCGGCGUCCGCGCCGUCGGGCGGUAGAUGGCGGCGUUGCAGACGAGGGAGUCGAGCGGCAUCCCGGCGCGGCGGAAGUUGUCGACGAACUGGCGGACGCUGUCGAGGGAAGCGAGGUCGAGGUGCAUGAUGGUGUAGCUGCCCUCCGCCAUGCCCGCGCCCUUGGCGGCCUUGGCCGUCUUGAGGAAGUCGCGGCAGGCCAUGACGACGUGCCACUUGCCCGUCUCCGCCAGCGCCUUGGCCGCGGCCAGGCCGAGCCCCGACGACGCGCCCGUGAUCACCACCACGCCCUGGCGCAGCGUCUUCUUGCCGUCCUUGGUCGCCGUGCUGGCACCCGGGGUGGCCACGGGCGCCGUCGCCACCGCCUGCGCCCUCACCGAAAGCGACGGCACCUGCAGCAGCUUCUGCACACGCACCAAAUUUUAACAUCACUUAAAUUUCAACAGCUAAUCGAUCGAGCAUUGUGUUGAUGUGCAAUGCAGCAGGUGCUGACCUUCUGGGGAACGCUGAGGAAAGCCGCCGUGUCCUUGACGACGGCGGCGAGGUUGCCCUUCUUGGGGACGGAGAGAGUGGAAGGGAGGAGGGCAGCCUGCAGAGCCAUGGCGGAGUUUGGAGCGUAGCUAAGCUGAGUUCAGCUGAGCGACAGCGAGACGCGCUGUUGUUUGCGGCGCGGUGACUGUGCUCGGAGGUGGUGACUGGUGAGCUCGCCGGCGGCGGGUAUUUAUACGCGGCCCGAGGAGCGAGGAGCGCCACGGAGAUAGGAUAAGGGGGUGGGCCCGGCCGCCACGGUGGAGCUUCCCCAGCCAAUCGCAGCGCGUGGCCCGGAUUUUCUUGGACGAUAUUUUCCCGCGGGAUAUUUAAAAAAAUAUAUAUUCCCGCGGGAUAUUGUUUGCGAGAGCGACAGCGUGGGGGAUAUUUUUGUUUGCCUCCGGUCACCACAGGCGACGGCGACGUCGCGGGAUCUUCUGCGCGGACGCUGCGCUCUUGGAGAUGGGGAUGGUGUUUGGGGCCGGAGCAGCGGAUCGAAAUGUGCAAUGAUGCAGCAUGGGGGAGGAGCGGCUGCCGGUGCACGGGAUCAGCUGCCCGGAUCUGUUGUUUUGCACGGGCCGUGACGAGCGUUCGGUCGUCGGAUGAGCCCACGUGAGCGUGCGGCAAACGAGUGGAUGCGGGGCGUGACACGUAGGAGAGGCCCAUUGGGGCUCGGGAUGAUGUGGCGUCCAACGUGGACGAUGGUCCUUACGCUUUCACCUCAGCCAGUGGCAGGUAUAAAACUGCACAAAGGUAACAAAAGAAUUUGUAGAGAGGUUUUUUUUUGCUUCUUUUUUGUUUUUCUUUGGGCGCAAUGUGCAUUUCUCACGCAGCCGUCGAUGAUAAAAUUUUACGGGAAAUGGCAGCAUCUCUAUUACGCUGUAUUUCAUAGCUUGGCCAGCUGAUUGUUCUUUGUUGAAACUAUUCUCUCAACACUUGCACUAUAAUAAUAGUUGAACUAUAUACUAUAGUGUCAUUAAUUUCUAGAAUAUAUCUAGAACAAUGCAGGCUAGUGCUCCAUUCUAAGAGGGUUCUUCUUCAUCUCUUGUAUCUAUGACCAAAAACAUGUAUAGGAAAGAUUGAGCUCCGUGUUGGUGGGUUGGGUGGGGUGUUGCCGUACCGAAGCCCGCGAGCCCCACCCUUUACCGGUUGCCCUGCACGGCAUGAGCCGUAAGCUAAGAUCGGGUAAGUUUCACGUGCUGCAUGAUCAGAUUUAUUGUCACAGUAUUCAUCAGAUUUAUUGUCAGCUACAACGCUGACAUGGCAGUCCAAUGCAAGGAGGUUGUCUGGACAUUCACUGUGUCUGGUUUCACAGCGCAUGUAGUUAUUUCUUUUAGCUUAACAUGAUGGUUUAGGACAUUGGACCAUUGCUGAGGUUCGUGGCCAUAAGGAAUAACAUGGGUGCAUGCCCCCCCAGUCUUAAAAGCCCAAUGAUACAGUACGUAUGCUCACCCUUAUUAAUGAUUUGGCUUGUUUGAGCUUCAUGUCACGUCUGCAAUUUGUAGCAUACAAUAAAAUAUAGUUCAAAUGUUUAUAUUUAACCUAAACUAUAAAUUAAAUUAUUCAUUUAAAUGCUCUUAACAUACCUCCAAUUUCAAAUCCAGGAGGAUUUCUUUGAGCUGCCAAUACCAAGUUUCAAGAAAUCUAUAUGGCUUGAAGAAGUCUACAGAUUUCCAGGAGCAUUGUCGUCAAAUAGGGUCAAUGUUUGCUUAUGCACUGCAAACUGAGAAACAUAUCAGCAAAGUGAUUUGAAUGGGCUCGAUGCAAUCAUGUCGGUUGGUUCUCAGACGAAUUCACCGAGCGCAUGAUUGUCACAUCGCAGUGUAAUAUCAGAAGCUUUGCAAGUCUAUACAGCCUAAACUAUGUGGGACUAAGGGGGCGUUUGGUUUCCUUUACUUAUUUUUAAACAAGUGUCACAUCAAUAUUUAGAUACUAAUUAGAAGUAUUAAACGUAGGCUAUUUACAAAACCCAUACAUAAGUGGAGGCUAAACAGCGAGACGAACUUAUAAGCCNNNNNNNNNNNNNNNNNNNNNNNNNNNNNNNNNNNNNNNNNNNNNNNNNNNNNNNNNNNNNNNNNNNNNNNNNNNNNNNNNNNNNNNNNNNNNNNNNNNNAUUAGCCUAAUUAAUCCAUCAUUAGCAAAUGUUUACUGUAGCAACACAUUGUCAAAUCAUGGACUAAUUAGGCUUAAUAGAUUCGUCUCGCCGUUUAGCCUCCACUUAUGUAAUGGAUUUUGUAAAUAGUCUACGUUUAAUACUCCUAAUUAGUAUCUAAACAUUCGAUGUGACGGGUGCUUAAAAAUAAGCAAACGAAGAAUGUGCGAGCCUUCAACGAACAGUGAAUGCGCAGACAAACGGCUACGUUCAGGACUUGAGGUUCAGCACGGUGAAAGUCGGAAGUAGGGUCGAACUGUAGAACAAUCUUUCUCCACGAGAAGCAACGUUUUCUAGAACUCUCGAUUUUGGGAGGGCGUUCGCACCGUCCCUAGCAGGCAGGCAGAGAAGAGAAGAGCAGUUCCCCGUCCGUUGCAUCUCAUAGGACAACACAUCUCAGACACAUCAGCCGUCAGGACAAACUGGUUCAGGCAAAGAUUCAGCACAGGCCAGUGACUGCCAUACGUGCAGCUGGGAGCACGAAACUCCUCAUUCUUCAGCACUAAAUAUUUUUUUUUGAAACAGAUCUUCAGCACCAAAUAACAUGGCGCAAAUGCAAGCACUAGUAUUACAAUGCAUUUCAUUACAGCACACCCCAAAUAAAUACUGUACAGCUGAAAUUGUAGAUAGAGGAAGGCUGGAGGUUCCUUCACAAUUCACUAAAAAAACAAACUGAAGAAUGGAAUUCUCAAUUGGUUAUGACUUAUGAGGGCAAUCUGAAAGUUCACUUGAUGUGGAUUCUUUCUUCAUGUUGCUACUGUCUCCAAUCUUGUGCUCCAAGGUAGGCCCAUUUUCCAUCUGCAGUAGGGUGCGUUUGACAAAUCUCCCAGAACUGAUUCUCUAUUAAUUCCAGCAGGAGCUUUACCAAAUGGUUUUUCAGAGAGAAGUGAUUCUCUGCAGAUUUUCUAAAGUGAUUCUCUGAAAUGACUAAGAGGCUGGGAGCUGGGGAAAGUAGCUUCUCCUGAUUCUGUGAAUUGAUCCUCCAUCCUGAUUUCAAGAGUUUAUGCUAGAGAAUCAAAGAGAAUCACUUUCAACCACAUAAUCACUUCUCUCAGAGAAUCAACUCACAAUCAGAAUCAGAUGGAGCUCUGCCAAACAGACCCUAAAUCAUCUAUCACCAAACAUAAGAUUGUUGAUUUGAUCAAUACUAAUGUCUGAAAUGGGUUCAAUGGGCCUCUCUUCUUCCAUUGCAGGAGAAAACGUCAUGCGCUCCCGGCUGUUUUCAUCUGUGAAUUAUUAACAAGAGCAACGCUUACUACAACAACAGCAGAUUGAUGAUAUGCAAGAGCUGGGAAUGCAAAACAAUACAAUCAUCUCACCAAAGAUGGUACUGACGGAAGUCGGGGGAGGAGUGGCGACGAAGUUGAGACCCAUGUAGAUGGCCAUGGACAGCGCCACGGCCACGAUCACGAACGAUGGCACCGCCAAUGCCCAAUACCUGAACGAAAACAAGCCUGCAAUCAGCUACUGCCAAACGCAUCCAUCCGAUUUGAGCUGAUUUAUAAGUAAAGGAGGCAAUCUUAUCGCUGCCGUUCAUUUCCUAAAUACAGGUUUCGUUUAAUUUCAUCCGGAUUGCCGAUCAUUCGGUUUCUAUUCCAGUGGUGAGGAUUCAGGAAUUUGAAUGAGCAAAAACUGAAAGGACAAAAAAAAAAGGUCAUGGACAGGAGGAUGCGAAGGAUGGGUGGGUCAGAACUGAAAAGCAUUUCGUACUUGCUAGGGUAGUAGGUGAUGCCGAGGGACCGGAGAGCGGGCUCGGGCGUGUACGCCCAUGCGAGGUAGACGGCGGUGGCGAUGACGGUGGUGAUGGAUCCGACGAAGCCGUACACCUCCGACGGCUUGGGGCCGUGGUCGCGGGCGGCGAAGGAGGGGGACCUCGACGAGUUGUCCCAGUCGCGGUGCGGCCGGCGGUUUCGGAUCAGGCUGACCGUCUGCCUGGGGCUCCGCACCACCAGCGACGGCGACGUCGACGGCGGCGGCCACUCCAUCGUCUUCCUCGCCCCCUCGUCCAUCUCGGUCGGGUCCAGGAAACAGCGAAGCGGCGGCGCACGUGGUGGUUUCCUUGCUCUUCAUGGGCCAAGGCCGUCAUGAAGGAAGCUCAGAACUGAGUGUACAUGGGCCUAAUCGUGUAUGGGCCACAUGGAUCGGUGCAGCCUCAGUAUUUUCAGGCUACUUUUUUUAGAAUUAAUCAUUUUCAGACUUUGCUCGCUGCUGUCCUCAUCCCUAAUUAGAUGAUGCACAUUGUCCUCAAGAAAGAAAAAAGAUGAUGCACAUUCUCCUCUGAAGAAAAGAAGACUAAGAAGAUGCUUCUCGGCCUCAAGAUUGCGUGGGGAUGACCAUCAUCUUGGCAUCAUUACAUUCCUAUCGCAUUCGCGGUAUGUUCUUUAUUUGUUUACUUAAUUGGACGCUUAUCUGUUCAUCUUUGACCGGAAAAUAAUCAUCCUGAUCUGAUCAUACGGAGCAAGACCAGAGCUAAUCAUUCGUUCGCAACCCUGUGCGUAUUAGGUCAGUCUCAACGCACUUUCAUUGCACAGUUACCAAGGUAACUGCGACAGUAGAGUAUCAUAGGUACGAAACUUCUCUCAUAUCUGAUAAAACUCUUUUCAUAAAUAACCUUAUCAAGUUAGCAAAAUUAAUGAUACGAUAUAAAAUUGAAAUUUUUCAUGAAACUUCUCGAGACUGGCCGCAAGGUGGCGGACAGGGGACGAUCGACGACGCAGGAAUCGGAGAGACGUGCAUGUCGAGAAGUAGGAGGCGUGCGUGCACGAGCAACGACAGGCCUGAAGGCCUGAUUGCUCGCCUUGUUUAAGCGUCACUUGCGAUUUCAUUACUCACAACCUCGCUGUCAGGCGGCCGCGGAUACGCCGUCCCCUUGUGCAGGCGUCGCCGUCGCCAUCGUCAAGAAGGAUUGGUCGGUAGGGCAUUGUGUACGUAUAGUAGUAUCUCGUCACGUACGUAACAGCAACAGCAACAGCACUUGUUUUGUUUUGUAGGAAGUGAACAUUCAUUGAUCACAUUAGCUAUACUUCAGUCAACUGGAUGAUUCUCGAACCUUUUUCUUCUUCUUGAGAUCCUCCCAGUGCUGCUGCGCACUAACGUUGGUGUUUGGCUUUCACCGUGCUACAAAGUCCAGGAGUGGUUAGACUUCAGAGUCUAGGUUGGAGAUCGGUUCCGUUGAUAACUGUGGGUUUAGAGAGGGACCUCUUGGCUAGCAGGAGAGUCCUGUGUCGUGUACGCGUACUUUUUCCACAAAGAAUCUUGCUCGAAUUUCAUUACCAGAAGCAACGAUAUUACAAAGUUUAGGUUCAGAUUACACAAACAAAUUUAAACGACUGAAAUGCAACAUAUGGCCCUCUAGCUGAAGAACGAACUACACGAAACUAGAGUUUAGAAAGUAGACAUCCAUUAGUCGUGUACGUAUCCACUAGAAACCGUAACAUAUUCGUUCCAAAAAAAGAAAAAACCGUAGAAACUGUGUACUUGCAACUGGUUCGGUGGGUUGAGAGCUGGAGGAAUAUAAUGCUCCACGCCCACGGUUCUCGAGUCAAAGCGAGCUCGGUAUAGGAGAGGUUGACAGCCUUGGGCAGCCACCCGGGGGUUUCUUAGCCGAAUCGAGAGUGCUGUCAUUUUCGCUUUGUUGUUGAGUGCGGCAUCGAUCACCAGCCGCACUCCCCAUGUAGAAAGGGAAUUGAUCAACCGUGAAUUGCAUUGAUCUGUUGUGUGGUUUGUAUACACAUACAAUGCACACCAGAGCCUAACUAACUCAGCUAGAUUACAGUCCUAACUGCGAGUCUGCGACGCGCGAAGAACAAGAUCGCAUGGUAAUGUCGGAAAGUAACCCAGCAACACGUUGGAGAAGAAACUUUUUACUGCCAGUAAGCGGUAAGAAAGCUAAGGUGAACAGUGCCUGGGAGUUGAGAUCUUGGUCUGGUUUCCUAUUAGGCACAUGGUGGAGCUAGCGCAGUCGUGUGCAGGCGGCGCGCAGCGAGAAGAGAAGCCAAUCCACGUCGUCGCGUUCGAGUCGAUGACACCAACCCCAAACUGUGCCCUCCGCCCCCAGCAUUGGCCAGGCGGCGGCCGUGUGGCCCGACGGCCGCGCAGGCAGCCGACGCGGCAGCGGCCCCCACAUGUGGACGAAACCCUGCUGCCGCGGCGACAAACGCCCACCCGACGGCCGACGACGGCGACAGCGCUGCCGAGCUUUCGCGGGGCCCGGUCCUGCGUAGGAAAGGCACCGACCAUGGCCCCACCCGUGUCUUUUCUCCCCCACGCGCGCGGGGCCCAGGCUAGUCGCCGCCCCGCCCCCACCGCCGCCGACGCGACCCCGAUCGGCCUCCCCGGCCAUUUACGCCGCGUCGUAGGUGAACGUGACCGAUCCAUCUGUUGAUCCCUCGCCGCCCUGGCCUGCCCGCCGCUGUUGCGCGAGCUGGCCGAUUCGAUCCCAAAGGCGGCGCAAGGCGCCAGGGCACGGAAUAAUUGCCUUGUCGCCUUGGUGCACGCAUCACUAGCAAAGCUAGCGAUAGACAGCGGCGAGGAACUCUCUGGGCGGUCUGUUUCCUCGGCAGGCAAACCACAACUCGCCGGAGCUGGAAUGCCCGUGUGUACACGCGCGGUCGCGUGCGCCGACGACCGAUCGGCCGCCACUGGGUCCGGGCAGCCGCGUUCGUUGCUGCUCGUGGCUCGUGCCGAGCGAAUAGUAGGGACUUCUACAAUCGGGCCGCGCGGAGGCGGCGGCGUGGCGCACGGUCACCGGUCAUGCGAGGUAGCUUCACGACGAAGAAGAGCAUCUGCUGCGUCAGCCGGGGGCCCCGCCGCCGCCCACACUGGACAGUUCUUUGUGCGGCCGUCUCUCCACCGCUCCGUGCCUUUGACGAUGCUUGUCUGGUCCGCAUGGGGUGAAAAGAUAAAAAGUAAACUAAAUAUUAACGGUAUUGGAUGGUCGUUCAUGAUCCUAAUUAAUUUGAUAGAUGAGGUAAAUGUUUGUUUGAUCUCUACUAGUAUAAGCACGUAUUUGACUAGAUUCUAGCAAAUACUAACGGAUUAAACACGACUGCUUAUCGGAGGGCACACAUAGGAGUUUGACAAGACCCAAGUCACCCAACCAACCAACCGGUCGAUUCGAGAGACAGUAACCAACCGAGCUGAUUGCCGUCCAGGUCGGACUGACGGCUACGUCUUGCCGCUGCAGCCACUCCACCUGCUUCCUACAAAUAGCCUGGCCGGCGGCUACCUGCCUACCUCGCUCGUAUUUCCUCCUCCCCAGACCGAUCACUUCACCCAGAGAGCGAGUGGGAUCGCACGCCCAACGCUAGCCUUGCCAGUUGCCACCUGAUUGCGGCGCGCACUAGCUAGCUAGCUCUCGACUCUCGCUGGUUGUGGUUGGUUUAAAGGCGACGGCCCCCCUCGGCAUGCGCUGUCCUGCUCGCCCGGGAAAUGGCGCCCGCAGCUUCGAUCCUCUCGGCCACCUCCGCCGCCGCUGCUUCCAAGCGUCCGCCCGCUUCCGACGCUGAGCCGCUGCUGCAGGGCGACGGCGAGGCGGCGCGCAAGGGCCAGCAGCCGAGCAGGCAGCAGCAGCUGGAGUGCCCGCGCUGCCAGUCCACCAACACCAAGUUCUGCUACUACAACAACUACAGCACGGCGCAGCCCCGCCACUUCUGCCGCGCCUGCCGCCGCUACUGGACGCACGGCGGCACGCUCCGCGACGUGCCCGUCGGCGGCGCCUCCCGCCGCACCGGCGGCAGCAAGCGCCGCAGGGUCUCCGCCGAGCCCUCGCCGUCCGCGUCCGCGUCCUCGCCGCCGCAGACGACGGCGGGGGCCGACGCGUUCCUGCUGGCGCCGGACCUCUCGGCCUUCCCGUUCCUCAGCGACGGCAGCUUCCUGAUGCCACCGCAGCUGGACCUCGGCGUCGCACCGGCGGCGUUCUCCUCGUGGCAGUCGGUGGUCCCGGACUUUUACGACGGGCUCGCGCCGUGGGACGACGGCGCCACUGGCAUGACGGGUCCGUGGGGCGACAUCGCCGGCGGCCUCGAGCCCAGCUGGCCACCGCCGGGGAACUGAUCGUGGCAGCCGGUCGCCGUUGUGAGGCUCCGGUUUUAGCAGUGCGGCCUCAUCAUCAGGUUCAGGUAGCUAGUGCUUCAAAGUUCCUAGUAUGCAGUAUGUUUUGAUGAGCUAUAUAUCCAGCUAGGAAUGCAAGCAGCUCAAUUCUCCUGUGGUUUCGCUGUUUCUUCUCGUCCUUGUAACGAAAUGAAAUGGUGGCAAGUAGUUAGGUCGGUGGAUCAUGAUCUGUAGCUGCCUGGAGGGAGGAUUAUAAGAUCUGUGCAGUGAUUAUUGUGACAAUAAAAUUAAGUUUGUGUCAAGCUUGCACUAGCACAUGUUGACCUCUAGACAUCACAAAUGCGGAACGGUACUGACUACUGAGAGCCCAAGCAAAACACCAAGGGCAGGAAAGAAUGGAAAUAAAACUGAAAAUCCAUGAAUUUUGAAAAGCAUUUUUGUAUAUCACUGUAUAUGUAAAGGAGAAAAAUACGAACAAAUUGAGGUGAUGUGUGCUAACCAUACAAUUACACAAAACCUUGUAUAUCAACAGUGAUAGUGUUAAUCAUAUGAUAGUGUGGUUCUUGGAGUACAAUCAGCAUCCAACCAGACAGGGAAACAGAGAAAACUUUUCAGUAAAACUGUCGACGAACUAACCCAUAUCUAUACAGUAAAGAACCAAACAACCCUGCAUAAUCUCACGCUAACUUUACACUUGAACUGGGAAACCAAAAUUCUGGAAAACCCUGAUCUCGCCUCCCCGUCCAGCCGUGACAAUCACCAAACCCCACGCGGACCGGCGCUGAACGUCCAUAGCUCCAAUGCAGAGAUCAGAGGAGCAGUGACCGGGGCUGCUCUUGGCAGACGGUAAUUUCUCGUCAGGCCAGGAUGUGGAUGCCCCGUCGCCUGGAGGUUUGCUGGUGCUUCUGCUUGCCACACCUUCACAAACUGGGCUCUCAUUGUAUCUGUUAUCAGCUGCAUCAGAAUUGUGCUCAGUGUUCUCUGCAGGGACGUCUCGGCCAGAGUUCACUGCUCCAUCUGAAUCACUGUGCCUGCUGCUACGAGAUCCAAACGAGCCUCGGGCUUCGGAACCAGGCCAUGUGAUAGCCACCGUCACACCAUGGCAGUGGAAAUGUUCAUAUGAGUUGGUUACAUCAACUGUACUCCUACUUCUGCUCGGGUGGGAACUGUUGUCAUGUCUCCACACAUAGACAUGAGAAUCCUCACUGGCACAGACGACAUAUUUCCCAUUUGGAGCUACAGAAGCUGAGAUUUGGCUACUCGUGUUUCGAAACCCUGAUGAAAGGAUUAAAGUUAAAUACCAAAUAAAUGCCAAAUCCUGAAACUAGCACAGUAGCUUACACAGGUCAUAAGGCAAGUAAACCCCCUUUAUAUUUGCAGAAAAUAAUACAUGUAACUAUCUGAAAAAUGAACUAUAUAUGAUUUACGGUUACAGGAGAAUGAGGCAUUACCUUUAAACUUGUGAACCAAUUCAUCGCCAUUAACAACUCGUAUUCUCGAAUCUGCAGAAGUGAUCAGAACUUCCGAGGAGCUUCCAGGAGCAAACUGUUGCAUGAAACACAGAUAUUAAACUUAAAAAAAAACUCGACCUGCGGGGGGUAAGAUAGCCCCCGGGCUUUUUGCUAAAAGAGAAGACCUUCUCACAUAGGCUGAGAAAACCCCCGAACCUCUACCCCACCCAUACACAGGGGCCCGUAACCCUUGUGAGACUACCACUGGGCUGGCGACCACUGCAACUACCCCAGGUAGGAGGGCCCAAACCAACCGCAGCUGCGACCUGAGCCGGGCCUUGACCUAUGCUUUGGUUAUGGUGACAGACGAGGGGAUUUUUUUUAACCCCAGCCUGAAAUUCGCUCCCACGGGGAGUCGAACUCAGGACCUGAGAAGUGCUACUGAGACCAUCUAACCAACUCAACUAGAGGAACAUUCGCCAGAUAUUAAACUAAGUAAUAGACAAACAAUAUCACACAGGAGAGUUGAGCCAUCAGAUUAAUGUGUGCCUUCUAGAGUCCCAAAAAAAAAGAAUGUGCCUUUCUUGAGAAAAAAAAAGAAAGAAAUUGGCAGGGAAAUGCACGCUCUGUGCUACAUUACCUGGAAGCCAGUGAUCUUCUUCUGGCCAGACUUCUUUUUCCUAAUUCUUAAAUCUAUCUGACUUUUGUACUGAAGCUUUUUCUCUGCAAUGGUUAAAACAAUGUGUGAGUUCAUCAUUUGAGGAACUGGAAUUCUCUAUUGGUGUAUAACAAACACAGAGUAUUUAGUAAACAUAAAAAAAGAAUAAAUGCACAUGAGACCGAGUGUAUGGGAACAAGACUGUCAUACCAGAUGUAUCAAAUAUAUGACAGCUUCCCUUGUGAGAGCCCACCAGUGCAACCUUCAAAGGCCACAGAGAUUAAAAUGUAAGCAUGUCGAGUUUUAUGGUAAACAGAAAUAUGUACCAGAAGGGAACUACUUCAACCUGUCCAUCAGGGGAAUAACAAGCAGCGGUAACCAUCUCAUGAAGAUCAUUCCAAUCCUCAAUCUUACGAUCUCGGACAUUCCAGAUGCGAACUUUCUCAUCCAGUGAUCCACUAAUGAAGAAGUUAUCAUCUACAGGAUUGAACUGGAUGCAAGUCACUGCAAAAGGUUGAUUACAAAGAAGCAAACAAUUAUAAUGCUGGUCAAAAUUCCAAACAAAUAGAACUGAGGAACAAAAGGGAACGCCCCUCUCUUUCUAUGAAAACAAGGAGAGACCAUAACAAAUCGACAGAAAUGUAUCCUGUGACCUACUCACCAUAGUCUGUAUGUGAGAAUGUUUUCAAACAGGUACUGGUAGUAAUGUCCCAAAGUUUAACGGUUUUGUCCAUGGAUGAUGAGAUCAAGUACUGCAAGAGAACGUUAAAAUCAUUAAAUAUUUUGUCACGGUAAUGUCAAUUAACAAGUUAUUUAUUAUUUAUCUGUUUUCUGAUUUGACAAUAACAAGACCUGACGUGCCAAAAAGAAGCAGGCUUAAAAGAGCAGAGCAAUGACCUACUUAUGACCGUUGACAAGGCUUGUAAAAAAUACAAAAACGCCGUUCCUUAAUGUUGCCAUGGACAACACCCAAGUCAACAUUUGAAACCAAUCAGGAAGACACAGUGCAUGAUCAGCUAAAUUGCAAUAUCUGAACUAUAUUAUAUGUAUAAAUGGGUGGAACCUGUUUUAAACAUAAAGAGUAUAGCAACAACAAAUGGACAGAAACUGUUUUAAACAGAGUCAACUAGCUGAACAUGUGCAGCAUGUCUUAGGUCUGUACUAUGUAGUCUAAAAAAUAAUGAGUAAUUAGAUUUUUUCUUUACUGGACGCAGAAAUGAUAUAAGGUUUUCAUAGAUAAGUAAUGGACUAAUGGACAAAUCAAAGCAAGAUAGAUUCAUAUCGGUACUGUUGGAAAAUUACUGUAGUGCUCAGCAGCCACAUCUCCUGUUCUAUAGGCAACAUGCAGUCUAAUGUUGCAUGCUGAAACUUAUGCCCAAUUUCACAUGCGGCAAAAUGCCAAACAUGUCUUGGUUGCCACAUUGCACAUUCAUUUGGUUUUUAGCCAUUUUGACAACCAUACUUCUUACAGCCAUACUAGAGCUCAUCAGAAACAGACAUAACUAAUUUCUGAACAACACAAGGAUGCACAAUUGUUGAAUGAGGUUUCAGGAUUACUGCCAAAUAUUGAAGAUUCAAUGGAAGAUCACAAUUUCGCACCUGAGAUUUGGACCAUGACAGAUCAAGGACGUCAGCGGCAUGCCCCAGGAGCGAGCAAACUGGCUUGUCUCUGAAACCAAAGACGCACUCUGGCACAACUAGAUGAUCAGAACCUACAGACUUUCGAUUGCUCUGCUUCCUUGGCCUCCUCUUCUUGUCCACAUAUCCUCCAUCAGCGCAGGUCAAUGACAGUGCAGCAAUCUCUGGUGAAUCAUUCCCAACAACUGCAAGAAACGGGCUGCAGCUACCACCAUUCUCCUUGGUCACUGAAGCUUCCCCGAGCAACUCACCCUUCCUCUCUCCCUCCGACACCUCCCACACAUGGAUCACACGGUCCUCUCCAGCAGUUGCAAGGUAUCGUCCAUCCAGGCUGAAGUUGAUGCACCACACAGAGCCCGAGUGGGCAGCCAAUUCCUGCGUCAUGAACAUCCCGGUGAGCUCCUUGCACGCCUUCCCGUACUGGCGCACCCGGACCCUUCCAGCAGCAUUGCGCGAGCCGGUGCCAUCAAGGCUGUCGUCGGUGGCAGAGCUCAGGCGCCGCGCUUCCCGCUCCUUCUUGUCCUUCUCCUUCUCCCCCUCAUCGGUGCUGCGGCGCCCGUACGCGACACUGCCCGCGAGCUGCCUGAUGCCGCGCAGCCAUCCUCCCCCGGGCUUCCUCCGGGGCUUGGACGCGGGAGCUGCGUGAUCGGAGGCGGACGAGGACGCGGCGGUCGUCGUCCGCUUCAUCAGCUCGUGCACGAUCGGGGAGCGGCCGACGCAGAGCUCGAACUCCUCGAAGGUGAGCUGGCGGCCGGUGCCCACCUCCCGGACCACCUCCUCGUGCACCUCCCCGACCUCGAACUCCGUGCCGUCGUCGAGGUUCCGGAUCCGGCAUUGCUCCCCGCCGCUGGAGCUGGGGUUCCGCGCGAGCGGCGGCUUCCCGAGCCCGCCGGAUCUGGGCUCCUCGGCGGCGAGCGGAGGCGAGGCCGGGGGAGACGCCGGAGGGGACGGCGAGCGAGGCGAGCGGCGCGGCGAGGGGGGCUGCUGCGGCGGCGGCUCCGGCUCGGAGGAGAGGCCGAGGCGCUGGAGCAGGAGGCGGCGGCGCUCCUCGACGGAGGUGGGCUCGGAGAUCCAGACGUCAUACGCGGAGGCGUGCGUCGGCGGGGGCUGCUGCAGGUGGCGGUGGGAGCGCCUGCGGCGGCGGUGGUCGGCGUCGUCGUCGGAGGCGGAGGUGGAGGAGCAGGAGGAGGAGAGGAUCCGAUCCAGCGACUCGUAGAACUCCUCCUCCUGCUCGGCCUCCUCGCCCGCCGGAUCCGGCCCCGGCGGCCGCGCCGCCGCCUCCGGCAUUGCCUCGGCCCCCCCGGCACGGGGCAGCCGACCAACCACUCGCGAAUGCGCGGCGGGGCGGGGCGGGGCGGGGCGGGUCGGCGACGAGGGGAGGAGGGAGGCGCCCGCCCGCCCAAAUGGCGAGCGGAUUUAUAUGGGGAGGUUUUGGUUUCGUGGUGUUCACAGCCGGGGGGCCUUGUUUGUUACUGCUGCGUGCGCGGGGCGUCGUCACCUCCACUCCACUCUCCCUCUCCUCCAGCUGGUGGAUGUGGAAGCAAAGGCCAAGGCUGGCUGCAAGGGGAAGGGAAGACAAGGCGAGCGGACACCUCUGCUACUCAGCGACGAGGUGGAGCACGGCGCUCCUCUCCUCUCCUGCUCGGCACGUCGAGCCCAGCAGACGACGAGGAGGUGUGCCACCGUGCCAGGUGCUGAUCCCAGGAUCCGGCCGAGGAUAUCCCGGGCGUGACGAUGACAGGUGGGGCCAGCCGAAAUAUCCCGCUAAAAUAGUGGUUCUCGUACGAGCACUAGCGCUUGGAAAAGCCAAACGUGUUAUAUUGGAUCACGCUGAUCGCGUGUCCCAGCGCCUCCCGGCUGUCCUGACACUUGCACGGGCUAACGGGAGCUGCCUCCUGUUUUUAAGCCAUCGGCACGGAGAAAUAUGAGAAUCCUCCCUAAGUUUGAACGUAAACAGAAUAUAUGAAAUAGUUAUUUGCAAAUUAGAUAAUAUAUAUCUAAAAUAGAAAAACGAAUCCCAAUACGGUCUAUGAUGCCAUGUCAACAGCUAUAAUAAAAAAUACUACGUAAAGAAAAGGGAUACGAAAUAUCCAUUGUCCAUGCAUUGGAUGGACUCCAGGUGAUUGAUAUUGUACCCCCGACAAAAAACUGAGGGGAAUCAAUCAAGCUUGGUCAACCAUUAUCGAGCAAUCCUAAUUCCUAAUGAUGGAGGAUUUGGUCGGGGUGCAGAAAUGUACUUCCCUGCUUUAGGAUCUAUUGCACGUCUAAGACCUUUUGUUCUUCUUUGCAUUUGUUAUUUUGGCACAAGUUUUUUUUCUAAAAAAAUAGUUUGAAAAUGUUCAAUUGUAAGAAAUGAAUUUCUACAUCAUAGGAUUUCUUACCAAAGUUAGAAAAAAAGGUCUCGAUUUCUCGAAUUCCUUAUUUCUAUCUCAAGCAAAAGAAAGAGGAUCCAAGGCAUAGACUUUUUUCGCUCUCUAUGUGGCUUAAUAGGUUUCAUGUAAAGUCAAUUUAAACUUUCUCGGUCAAUUCAAUUGCGGCCUUGACAAAAACUGUAGAAAUACAUACACAUGUAGGUUUUAAAAUUCAUUUUGCCUUAUUAUUAUAUAGUACAUAUAUUCCUCAAAGGUUUUGCUGUAAUACUGGACCUUAAACCGUAAGAUGGCACAAGGAUGAUGUUUGUUGGCCCACAAUUCCACAAAGGUAAAAAUAGAUGUCAUUGCGAUGGACUCUCUGUAUUUACUACUUAUUAGCACAAUUAACCUCUCAAAAAACAUAAAGGUUAUGAUUUACAUCAGUAAAUUGUAUCACAAAAGGAUAAAAAGAAUGACAUCCAAGACAAGUACAGUUAAAAAUAAGAUACACGUAGUAAAAGUCAAACCAACAGUGAUUUUUUAGCGUGUGCCCAUCGUUUCAGCUAAUAAUUUAUUAUAGUAGGGGCGAUUAGCAUAACUAUUAACUAGUAUAGUAUAUAGUCGAUGCUUGGCAACUAUGUCAUGUAACCCUUGACGAUGUAGUUUGUUAAUUACAGUGUCGGAUAACUUGCUCAAAUAAUUUGACGGUUAGCAAAAGUUUUCUACUUCUGAUCGUGAUACAAUUGUUUUCUUUUAGAUUAACAUGUGCUUAAAACACGUAUAACAUUGGUGAUCAAUUUGUUUAUUACUUGGUGAUCGGUUCUUCUGUUUCGUGAUCGACUGUGAUGGAGUGACAGAGGUGCUAAGUUGUUAAACUUGUAGCAGUAAAUCUACGCCGGCUUACUAAACUAAAGUGAGGGUUAAGUGUGGAUUAGGCAAGGCAGCAAAUGUGCGCCAAUGAUUAGCUUCUAGGCUUAGCCUCCCGGCAUGAUCACGAGAAGAAUUACGUAGCUCCUGCGUUACCACCAUGGGUGGGCUUUACUUGUCAACCACUUGUCGCAGGACAACGAGGCCAUGAAAUAUUUUACUUGUAGCUUUGCUAGGUGCACGUCCAUGAAUCACAAUUCCUCCAUAGUCCGCAUGAGCACCCGCUCAUCCGCACAAAUAGUUGAUGCGUACCACGACUAUGUACAGCUUAAUAAAACUUGGGUCGGUUGAUUUUCUAUCCUCCUUCGAUAAUUUCUCUAACCGUUGGAUGAAAAUCUAACAGUCUUGGUUCACCUUGUGUUCUUAUUUUCGUUGAUGAAAAGUGGGCGAAACAACAACAAAAAAUGAUUAGAAUUCUUGUACUAAGAGACAUUACAAAUCCAGCAGUAUUUGCCAAAAAUAUGACGAUGGAUAAAAAAACACUUUUCAUAAUUUUUUUUAGCUGGAUUUUUUCCCCAUAAAACUUUGGCACAGAAAAGCAUCUGCCAAGUUGUGGGCUUGUGGCUGUGCCGUUGGAUAGAGGAGAUUUAAUUUAACCGGGUCAUCAUACCAGAAAUCAGGUCAAACUCAAUAAAAUACCCAAGAGAAUUUUCUUUCAUACAAUGUUUUUUCUCCAGUGAUUUGAACAUGGAAGCAUGUUUGAUGUACAAUGGCGAUCUGAUCCUCCUCAUCACCUCCCAUAUUGACCAUGAAUUUUCCUCCUCGUCGCUUAUUUUUUGUGCUGGUGAAAUGCUCGCGACUUUUCUUUUGUUCUGAACUGAUGAUGGCAUGCAGGGGUGUUCUUGCACCGACCGCAUGCAAAGUGGUAUGCAGUUGGUGGGCGCGCCGCGCAUGUUACUGCAGGCGAGGCGAUGGAUCGAAAUGGCCGAGGCUGAAGCUAGCCGGCCGCUGCUGCAGCUGGCGUGCAAUAAUGGAGGAGUCUGGAGCACGUUGCAACGCUUUUGGCUCAGGUCAAUGGCUGGUUGGCUGCUUAAUCUCCCUGCUAGCUGCAACCCUUUGCAAAAUAAAGCCAUGGAUGGAUCUCAGCUGGGAUUAAAGAGGCCGGCCAUGGCAUCAUAUUGACAGCUUUGUUUGCAGGACCCUCCAUUCCAUACCAUCUUCUCCUCUCCCUAGUUAGCUGCUAAUCGCUUUUUGUAUCUUAAUUAAUCCACGGCCGCGCAGCUGCGCACCAACCAACCACGCACACACGGUGCUGAUGAUAGAAAAUCAGGGAGAGCACGUUGGAGGAUUUCGUUUGGCUGGACUAGGCGUAGUUUUAUCUAUACCCUAGAUGGCCUUCCAGCCUAGAUCGUUCGUUCACCGCCGAUCAUCACCAGCUACCUUGGUUGAUCAUGCCUGCGUGCUACAAGGCAAACGGCACCUGCGUCGAUCCAGUAGUUGUUGCCUAGCUUCUUGGUGGUGCCGCCGUGCGGCUAAAAGGAAGGGAAGGAAAGGAAUCCGAGGAAGAAGAUCGAUCUUAGCUGUUCGUUCGUUCCUGUGCAUGCUAGCCGCCCGCUUGGCUUGGCCACCCUUGUUGCUUGCCACGCUGUCGCUGUGUGCAUCAUGCUGUUGAGCUUCUAGACUGCUACUGCUAGCUAGUCUCCGCGCCAUAGAACGUGCAUGAUCCGCACCGUGUUUUCGUUAGCGUCCAAGUUACGCAAGGAAGACAGGCAGUACAUACACCAGGACCUUUUUGGAGCGAGUCUUGGUAAGCCGCGCGCGUCCUCAGCUCCUGACAUGCUUGCACGCACGCUACUAUGUGUGUGAGGAUAUAUGACUUUAUCAACACGGUUACAUAGCAGAUGGCCAGGCAAGCAUAUGCUAAUGCAUGUUGGACUGGAAAAUGGCAUGUGCGCAGCUGGAACUGGAAAUGCAUAUGCAUUUGCUUGGACUUGGACACGGAGCGGCGCGCCGGCCGGUGCUUGACAUGUUGCUAUGCUAGCUAGGAGAAUCUUUGCUAGCCCCAGCAAAUUAAUAUUUAUUGUUGCUUCUAAUUAGCCGCUCUUAUAUUAACCACUAUCCAGAAGAUUAAAAAGCUAGGCUUUUCAGUGAACUUUUCUUGUGCGUUACAUUUUCUUUUCGGUAAAAUAGCAAGUGAUUAACCUUUUUUUUUAUCGGAGGGUAACAACUUUAAUUUCAGGAAGCCACCAACUUAUGAGCUAAGCUUGUACUGCCUGCACUGUAAGCUAGUGCUGCGUGCCGGCCAAAUCUUGUAGGCCUGGCCGGAUGAUUGAUGAACGUAACCGUAGCUCAUCAUGCGUAUUAUUUACAUUUUACAGUGCCAUCUAUCAGCAUGUAGUACAUGAGUAGUCAAGAAGGUAGGCAUGUGGGUUAGGUUGCUCCCUACCUAGCAGCAGUACAAGAGGACCGAAAUGGAUCCUUUCAGGUCCUACGAGAGGUAGGCCGGUAGAUAGAGCAGAGGCGUUGGCCUGGCCCAACCCAAGCCCUACCACCACCAUUUUUAUGAUUCAUCAGGCUUCAGGCCACCGAGUAGCAAGCUUGGCCAGUCAAUGGUGAGUCAGGUCAGAGUGCAUGUCGCUCGUUUGUCUUAUUGUCGGACCCACGUUUACCUUACCUAGCUACGUCGCCCAUCCAUGGAAUGCAGAUGCAGAUGCAGGGGCGGGGGCAGGUCCCUUGUUCGUUGCUCUGGUCACGUCGAUCCCUGCCGAUCGAGGAGACGAGGACGAAUCUGGACGCUAGCUACCUAGCUUGUCCGAAACAGAUCGCCCACAUGAACAACACCUCUGUACUGCUGCUACGACCUGUUCAUGCAUGGAUGGUGGAUGGCCCAGAUUAUGGUGCACCAUCAGUUGGCAACAAUGAAACGUGAAGGCAGGACCUUCCCCUAGACGACGACGACCAAGACCAACCCCGAUUGGCGUUUGACCACGCAUGGCAUGACGACCGAGAUCCCUGGAAUGGAGUGUCCGGCCUUCAGACCAACCACGACGUGACGGGGCGACGCCGAUCGAUAGCCUGCUGCAGACGCGCAUGUUUCUUUCACCAGGACGAUAGAACGAGACAAAAAGUGGAGUACAAUUUACUUUCACCGUGCCUAUCCACGGAAGGUAAAACGCACCUUAACCGAUAGUAUACGUUGCAUCCUCCAGUCACGUCAGUCGAUCAGUGAAAUGAAGCUUGACAGAGCCGCGAAUUCGGCGGUGCCAGGAAAGAACACUCCGGCCGACGGAUUGUCCGUAACCGCCGCCGUUGUCGCCGGCAGACAUGCGCAUACGGCAUACUACUACGCCACCAUUUUAGAGUAGUAGUAGCGCACCGGCCUACUAGAAUAGUAGGAAUUGCGUGUCGAUUCUGCGGCGAGGCAUCGCCGCCUGGCGCCAUUAGUUAAGAGCAGCCGGGCACGGCCUUGCCAGACGCCACAGGGACACCCGGAGAUGCGGCCCUGCGAUGCAGGAACACAGCCGAGGACGCGAGCCCGUUAAAAAACACGGGGGGCAGCGCGAGAUCUUCACUCGGCGACGACGACGACGACCGGCGCCGCCGCCGACCACGUCUCGGUCCCCCGACAACCGGACCGGAUGCACGGAAUCGUGUCGCGUUCCAAGUGAAGCACCGGCCUGCAGCGAGAGUACACGGCAGGCAGGAUGCCUGACUCACCGGGUGAUGAGCUGAGCACGAUUCAGUCGCGGCAUAAACAAAAGCUCACCUGCUCGCCGGGACCAGGACCACCGCCGGGCAGCUCCACCCCGUAGCUUCGUGCUUCCGUACGGACACGCAUGAUUUCCAUUCCGUGCAGAUCGAGAUUACCACAAGAUUAUCUUGACUGCCGGGUAGUUAACAGGCAAACGAUGACAGCAAACAGAGUUUAGUUCUGAAUGUAUGCACAGAAAAAUCCAUUCCCAGCCGGCAAUGUAGGUUUUCUGUUCCUGACAGAAUCGCAGACGAGACACACGGCAACACAUCACAGUACUAUCACACACACUCUGGUCAAAGGGCCCGUGGAGCGGAACGCGCUCAGGGGCGUGGGACGAGCACAUGUACAAGCAGUCCAUCAGUCAAGCACCACUCCUAGUCUGAACGAAAGAGGAGACCACGGAUGAAUCACAUGCGGGUCAUGCCGAUGCCGCCGACGAUGGGCGGCGGCACGUCGGCGAUGGCGCGUGAUCUGGCGUAGAAGAGGUAGUGGAGCUCGGUGAAGAGCGCCGUGAGGAAGGUGAAGGCGGCGCCGGCGGCGAAGACGCCCUUGCGGAGCAUCGCGCAGGCAGGCGGGCUGUCGCUGGGCCUCGGGAUGUACUUGGUGUGGUAUGCGUUCCGGACCGAUCCCGCCAGCAAGCACAACUCCGCGAUCACGAAUGUGAGCCUGCAUCAAUCCACUCCCACCACUUCAGAGAAACCAAAAAACAUACAAGUUCAACCAAGCCAGUGUAAACUAAACUUUCUAUAUUCUAAAACAGGCCACACUACUACGCAACUCUGCCCUGUUCAGCACCAGAAUAAAUGGUAGAAAGAUGUCAUCUAUUGUAAAAUACAAGGAACAAGCAAGUAUAAAAACUGGUAUAAAAAUUUGUACAAUACGUACAGUGCUUGUCUAGUAUCUCGAAUCCUCAAGUGCUUGCAUGAUAAUGAUUUGCGUAGAAAGGUAACGAGCCACAAACAUCAGAAAAGGGUGGUGUGAGUCUCUUAGCAUGCUUGUAACAAAGCAACACUGAACUGACGCCGAAUUUCGGGUUGUGUUCUUUUUUUAUUAUUAAAGCUCUAAAUCACCAAAUUUCAUAGCAUAUUAACGUGACCUAUAAAUCACCGUACUUAUGGGACCAUCUCUAAAACUUAUAGGCCAAGUUGACCAUUGCAUUAUAAUUAUAAGCUGGGGUCAAUAUCUUAUCUACAUAACUAUCGCUUCGUAUAAUUCUUACUAACUUUCUAGAAGGUUCUUUGUACUUUGCUUAUGUUACUUACUUAUUGUGAUAGUUUUACUUCAUGUAAACAAAGAAACUAUACAGAUAGUUUGUACAUGAACAAACUGUUUUUAUAUCCAAUAUUUUUCUAGAGUUCUAAUUUAGAAAAUAAAUUCUACUAAAAACAUCUAGUAUAACUUCAGAAAUCAUCGCAUCCAAACACCUCUCAGCUUUCCAAAACUAAAAUAUUUUACAAAACCAUAGUUAAAGUACUUUGUAUCUAAGCAGGGCCUGACUAUGUGCCGGCCAAGGGCCUUCCACCUCUCUGACUUCUUCUGUACGGCCUAAAAGGGCACAAACUGGGCUACUGGUCGUCCCAUGAUCCCAUGAGUUUCAUUCAGUCCCCAUUCUUGCUCAAAAAUAUAUUCCAGCUUCCAAACAGAUGUUCUCAGUGGCUGAUGUACGAAUACCUAAACCAUCAUAUCAUUUUGCUCCAUUUUUGGCUAAGAAUUGGGCAGGGACAGGGCAACCAAUCAGUGCAUGCCAUGAGACCGACUUGCAAACCAGCAGCCAGAUCAGGGCAAGGUAUACAAUAUACAGCCAACCUAGACAUACACAUGUACUCCCUAGUAUUAAUCUACAUUUAGAUUGCAAGGUCGAAGCUCACACAAAGUCAAUGGGCCAAACUGUGCAGCGAACUGAGCGGAUUAGCUGGCCACCAGCCAGCACCGGGUAUACGACUGCAAAAAUCCACAAAUUCCAGGGGCGAAAUUGCACAGCGAACAUGGUGACAAGUGAGAGCGAGAGACAGACAAAACAUGCCGAGGUUUCCCUGGUGAAAAUUGAUGAUUCACCAGGUACGGUUGAGGGGCAGAAAGAAAGUUCCAGUUGGUUACCAGCAGACGACGAAGCAGAUGCCGGACCAUGCCCGCCAGCGUCCCGGCGAGAGGGCGCGGCCGCAGCAGAAGCAGCGGGUGGCGACCAUGGCGACCGCCUGGCCGGCGAGCAGCAGCAGCAGCGCGCUGACGCCGUACACCGUGGACGCGUCGGAGCUGUAGACGCAGAAGGCCCUCCCGUACGUGUCCACGCUGACAUAGGUCACCUGCACGCAGUUGUUCAGCAGCGAGGAGAUGAGCAGAUCAGUACAAUACUUCCCCUCCAUGGCUCCCCAAUCAUCCCAAAGAUGGCAGAGAUAUCGAGCAGAGACGAAUCAGAAGAAGGAAGGGAAUAAUCAGCAAGCUGUGCUCACGUACGUAGCUCCGCCGGCGCUCGGCGCCGAUGGCGAGGACGAAGGCGAGGACGUCCAAGACGAAGACCACGGCGAUGAUGAUGAUGGACGCCAUGAGGAAUUCUCUGGACGGACGGACGGAGGGGACUGAAUGAUGCAGCUGCUAGCAGCCUAGCACGGGGUUCGCUUCGCUUUCCUCUCCGUCGCGCGUCGGCACAAAAAAACUAAAGAGAGGGAUGGAUGGAUUAGGCCGAGCGAGGGGCGAUGAUAGCUAGCAGAAAGGCUUAGCUUAGCUUAGCUUAGCGAGGUGUGGUGUGGUGAGGCGAUGCGGCACUAGCGCGCUGCUCUGAUGUUGACGCGUUAGCGGAGCGGGUGCCUCUCGACUGGUUGACGGGCGGCCCCAGCCCGGAUUCUUGCAUGAUGGAUUGGAACAUCAGCUUAGUUAUUGCUUCCAUGUUAUUGCGCUGCAGCUAGCUCUUAGCUUUAGUAAAUUUCCUCCAAUUCCUUCUGGGCGAAGAAUUUGCUUGCCAAAGCAGAAAGAGUGGCAGAUGCUUUCCGCUUCGUGCGGUGGCGAAGUGGUGAACCUUUUCUUUCCUUGGCCCGGCCUGCUGCUAGUGCUAGCUUUGCGAUGGCGAGGCAGCGACCAGCGCAGCCACGUACUCCACCCUGACACGAACGAUACGUGUCAACCAAAGAUCGAUGGAGGCUCCGAUCCUCCACUCCUCCUUGCGUACAUAAUGCGUCGAUUAGCGAGUGUUUGCUUGCAACGCGUGCAACGUGCACUCGAUUGAGCACCCGACGAAAGGGACACGAGAACAUCGUGACAGCUGAUCGCCUGAUCGAGACCAGACUGUGCGCGCACGUACCUUUUUCUCAUCUCGUCUUAGUUCUUACGCCGACCAGCUGGGUUUUCAACAUUGGAGAGUGUAAACCGUUUCAAGUACUGCGCUACUUAAAAAAAAAGCACCCGCAUGCACCUUGUCUUAUAGCUUUGACCCAUAAAAUUCAGCCAUUGAAUUGGAGGAGUAUUCACUCUUUCUUUUUGGAAUGAUGAUUGAGUAUUCACUUAGGAAACAGUGAGUUUGCUGGUUUUCUCCUCCUCCUCUGUCAUUUUUGGGUUUUUUUUUUAGAGACGUUUUCCAUAUGUUGUUCUAGGUGGUAUAUGCAGCAAAGUGGGGCAGCUAUUUAUUCACGGGCCAAAAAAGCCCAACCGUUCAAGGAUCAACAAGUGGGCCGGCCCAACCGAAAGCGAGACAAAAAGCCCAAACGUGCUUGUAGGAGGAGGAGAGAGCAAGCAGAGGAUCAACACGUCGCCGUUUCCUUGUUCGAUCCCGUCGAUUUCAGGCGCCUGCUCGUCUCUUCCCCACUCCAUUGCUCGUGUUCUGGCGCUUCCCCCGCGAGCCCGCUCCUCGAUUCGAUUGAGGUCGCGUGAGCGCGCGCUUUGGAGCUCCGUGACUGCUGGGAUCCGGGCCGAUUGAGGUCGAAACAGACAAACAGUCGGUAAGCGCGCUGGUCUCUGAUUGCUUCCGCUGGGUAAUCGUGUAUGGAUUGGGGAGACGUGGUUGCCUGGUUGGUUCGCCCGCCAUAUAAUGUAGCGGGGGGGGGGGGGGGGGGGGGGGCUUGGGAUUUCUGCGCGCUCGGAUUCAAGCUGGCAAUUGCGCAAUUGGGAGUGGUUUCUCGAGCUAUAAGGACAUCGUGGUUAGCCGCGAAUCUGCGAUUUGUGCUAAAUUAGGUUUCUGCCCGGGAUGCACAUGCACUCCAGCACAUUUGCCGCAGUUUAUUUACUUCGAAUGUUUUAGCUUAUCUGGUUUGGGAGUUCUGAUGCUGACUAGGUGUGUAUUUCACACUCAUUUGAUUUUGCCACCACUUCCCAUUGUCCAACACUCCAAUAGCUUUCAGUUCUGGAGCACAUAGCAGGGAUGCUCCUAUGUUUGAUCUGAACGAGGACUAUGGAUUGUGUUUUAUUUGAAUCACAACUCUACUGCUUACCUCUUGCCACCCAUCAAAUUUUCUUAUUCAUUCAUCAACUAUGGUAGGGUUUUUGUUUCGUGCUGUUUCCUCGAGGCUAACAUGAUUGAUAUGAACCCAGACUCUGAAGAUACAUGUAGCAGGAGGGGCAACAACAGAGAUAUUAGGUCUGUGCAUAAGAGAUGGUAAGCUGACAGUUUUCACUUGCUAAAUUAGCAUGAUGGGUUCCAGUUUUUUUCAGAACCCCAGGAACUAUUCAUUUGAAUUCUAUUCUGAAGAUUGCUAAUUACUCACUAACUACUCUUUAGUUUGUUCCCAUGUUAGAUAACAGGUCUGAUCUUGAGAAGCCCUCUAUAAAUCCUGGGAUGUGGCAAUGCUCCAUUUGCACGCAUGAAAAUGAUACAAGUAAUUUAUCCUGUGAGCUAUGCGGUGUACUUCGUGAUGUGUCACUGUAUUUCAAUAAUAUCAGUGAAGCUGAAGCUGGAGGUAUCUAAUUUUGUUACAUUAUAUUCUACUACUUCGAUGCAGUAUAAUUACUUCUGUUUAGUAUGUUAAUUUAGUUACGUUCCCUCCUGAAAUCAAGCUAAACGCAGAAACAAGUAUUCUGGAGUGUCCGUAUUGGCAAGAUCUCUUUUUGCACCAUCUAGUACGAAGUCAGAGGCUAUUAUUUUCUCUGAUGGCUCCCAAGACAAUAGAAAUGCAACAGGGAAUAAGCAAGCUACCAUGGAUGCUCUGCACAAGACAUACAUGCCCAACAAAAAGCGCCACAUUAACAUAGGUACGCUACAUCGCUACACUUAGCAUUCAGCAGUCAUAUUUUGUGCAAGUUAGUUUUUUAGUGAAAUAUGUAAUUCAAAUUUUUGUUGCUGUAAGUGUACUAUCAUUUAUCCUGUCUAAGUCACUUAUUUGCAUAACCAUAUAUUUUAUAGUAACUGUACAUCUUCACUGUAGGCACUAAUGGACUCUUUUUUUUUAAUAACUGCACUUAUGGACCAUGUUGAGCUGAGCCAUAAUGAUAAGUAACUCUGUCAACCAACUUACAGAUUUAUGUUUGAGCUACAAGCUUAAGCCUGAACUCUUUGCAUCUCCAGAAGUGGAAACAUGCAAUUGGUGUCUGGCUAGUUGGUCUUAGAAUUUUAUUAUGAAGAUUUACAGUUAGAUUCUCAUAUGCUACUCUGCUAUACAGAAAUUUGUGGAUUGAGAAGUUAGUGAGUACUAAUUAGCAAUGGAAUUUGCUUUAUCUAGGCCUACCUUGAGUUCCUCUCCUUUGUAAGUUGGACGAAUCUAUUUGGGUCGACUUGUUUGUUGUUCCUAGGGGGCAUAUAUUGUAGUUCUAUAGUGUGUGUUCAGACACGGUUCAUUUUUCUUACUGUCUGCUUGAUAUUUGUUUCGUUUGCUGAUUUGUUUCCAGAGUAAAAUUACCUGGAACAUGACUGCAUUUUGUUGAUAUUGACAGUGCCUUUCAAGUUUGACACGCCAUCUCCUGAUGACAUGGUCACUACGGGCUUAAAAUCAUCAAGAAAUUUUAGAAAAGGUACUUGUUGCACUGCUCUUCCCCUCCAUUUGACAGGUGGAUAGCAUACUACUUAAAAUGCAUUUAGCAUUUAAUUUGGUGCGGAUCCUUUAUUUUUCAUUGUUUGUGAGGUUGUAUUUUCCUGGUUAAUCUGGAUUUGAUUAAUUUACAUGUUUAUGUGCUGAAGAACGAGUCUAGUCAAACAGAAUGCAUAUUGGUGUCAAUAUGAUUAUGAACCAUGGACUGGCCCAUGCCAUAGAUAUCCCUUGGCUCUCUGUUUUCUUGCCCCCUUGAGACAUUGCUGUAAACGGUGCUAUAAAUGUUUUUUAAAUUGAAGAUUCUUUCCAGAAAAAAACUUGUGUUAUGUAUACCUUGCUAUAGUUGUAUGUUGACUUAAAUUUAUACCAGUUGACACAGAGGUUUUAAUUAAAGAUUCAGUUGAUGUCGCUGGAGAGAAGACGAUGGAUAGUGGUAUUCUUGUAACUGAAAAGGAUACAAGUAUGGACCCAAGUGCAUCAGCAGAGUUGGAUGAACUUGGCGGAACUAGUAGCAGUGUUCCUUCCAGUAGUCAAAAUAUAACUCUUGUUUUGGACCAUGAGCUACAGCAUUUAAGUUUGGAGAGCAAGCCGAAGAGCAGUAAACCCAAGAUUAAGAAACCGGCUUCUAUUUCACAGUACAAGCCAGAACCAUGGAUGCUCCAGAGUGAAGAUCAAGAAAUGCGUAGACAGCUAAAUCUUGCCAUUGUAAGCAACAAUUGCAUAUUUGCUUUUCAAUCAUUUAUAUACUGAUAUUUCAUUUGUUCUGCUCUAAGUCUGUUGGAAAUGUGAUGCUAGGUUGGUCAUGUCGAUUCUGGGAAAUCAACUUUAUGUGGUCGAUUACUGCAUGCUCUUGGAUUGAUUUCAAAAAAGCAGAUGCAUAAAUAUGAGAAAGAAGCUAAAGAAAAGGUCAGUUCUGUUAUUCAGAUUACUAGCGCAUCUCAGCCUGCACUAAGCUGCUUAUAUUUUUAGAAUGCUUCUUCUGUCAGGGGAAAGGAUCAUUUGCAUAUGCUUGGGCCAUGGAUGACAGCACUGAUGAGAGGGAGCGUGGAAUUACAAUGACUGUGGCUGUAAAAUACUUUGACACUGAGAAAUACCAUGUAGUUUUGCUCGACUCCCCUGGUCAUAAAGACUUUGUUCCUAAUAUGAUAUCUGGUGCUACACAAGCUGAUGCAGCCGUCCUAGUUGUUGAUGCGUCUAUAGGCUCAUUUGAAGCAGGCAUGGGUGUUAAUGGGAUUGGUCAAACAAAGGAGCACUCGCAACUUAUUAGGAGCUUUGGAGUUGAGAACUUGAUUGUUGCUGUUAAUAAGAUGGAUCAGGUGGAAUAUUCGAAGGACCGGUUUAAUUUUGUUAAAUCGCAACUUGGUAUCUUUCUUCGAUCAUGUGGGUUCAAAGACUCUUCAGUCACUUGGGUUCCUCUGAGUGCAAUGGCAAACGAAAACUUAGUGACUGCUGCUUCAGAUUCUCGUCUUUUGUCAUGGUAAGAUAUUGCUAAUGUUGGGCCUCUUUACGCAUCACUUAUUUUCGUGGACUUUGUAGUUGAUUAUCAAUUAAUUUGAUGCCCGUUGUCAGGUACAAUGGAAAUUGUAUGCUGAAAUCCAUUGACUCGCUACCUCCUCCUCAUCAUGAUGUUUCAAGGCCACUACGCCUUCCCAUCUGUGAUGUUAUUGCAUCUAUCACACUGGGGCAGGUGGCAGUUUGCGGUAAAGUCGAGGCUGGAGGAAUCCGAACUGGUUCUAAGGUACUAUUCUGAUGUUCUGCUUGGCAAAGUAUGAGCUUAUUUUUAAACUUGUAAAUUGUUAUUGUAAUGCUUGCUACCACUUGCUGUGCAAAAGAUUGUACAUCAUGUUACAGUUAUCCACUUCAUUCCUUUCCUGUCCGAUUACCUGCUAAACAGCUAUGAUAUCUGCAAUUUCCUUGCUUUGUUUACAACCUGCUCAAGUUGUUAUUUUGAUCCUUAAUAUUCUGUCGCCAGGUUCUUGUCAUGCCUUCCGGAGAUUUAGCUACAGUUAAAACCAUCGAGCGGGAUUCCUCUCGUUGCAGCUCAGCAAGAGCUGGGGACAACAUUGCUGUUGGUUUGCAAGGGAUCGACACCAGUCACCUUGUGUCAGGUGGAGUUAUUUGCCAUCCAGAUUUCCCCGUGCGCAUCGCUUCUCGCUUGGAGCUGAAAAUCUUGGUUCUAGAAAUCACUACACCAAUACUGGUCGGCCUUCAGGUUAGUGAAACAGCACCACGGAGUGGAUAACAUAUCAAGCUUAACUUUAAUCUGAUCAUCAUCUGACACGGUUUCGAUCAAAAUAUUCUAGUUCGAGCUGCACAUACAUCAUGCGAGGGUGUCUGCGAGCCUGGUUAAAAUACCGUCAUUGCUGGACCAGAAGACCGGCAAGGCCUCAAAGAAAAUGCCACGUCUGCUCACUGCGAAGCAGGCUGCUAUAGUUGAAGUAAGCUUCGCGUCACAUGUAGUCGAACGUUGUUGCUAGUCAAAGGAAAGCUUUUGAUUUUGUAAUGUUCAAUUUUGCUGUUUGUGUUUCAGGUGAAGCUGGACAAGGAAGUGUGCGUGGAAGAAUUCUCGACUCUGAAGGCGCUUGGGCGGGUGUUCCUGCGGUCUCGAGGCAACACCGUUGCGGUGGGCGUUGUGACUCGAAUUCUGGAUCAGGCUUAGAUCCCUCGACUAACCAGACAUGUCGUGUACACGGUGUAUAUCUAUCUCAUGUUACCAGUUGCUAGUCAAUAGAUCUGUGUACGCGCGGCUGUACUAACCGUAGCCGAUGGCACUAACCUAAAAGUCAGAAGAUUUAUGGCUCGAUUCUUCAGUUGUCUCGAAUGACGCUGGGCAAUGGUUGUCAGCCCAGAGCCCACCCGUUUUCUCAAGGUUUGGGUUUCUACACGCAGUCAACUUGUUUAGCCGGCAGCAGCUCCCAUGGCUUUGCCGUACCAUGGCCGUAUGGUAUGGUAUGGCGGCCAUGUGACUACGAUAAUCGAUAAGGUUUUGGCGUCGAACUCCACGCGGCCGCCUGCCUGCCUCCUCGUACGCGGUUGCUCCCGUUGGCCGUUGCGCGCUGCCCGUACCGCGUCGCCUGCGCUCGGCGUUCGUGCCCUCACCCGCCCCGCUCCCCCCCCAUAAAUUGUCGCGGAGAAUUUAAGAACGUCACGCGCGGGGGAGCCAGGUGAGGCGCCCCGCGCCGGAUGGAUCCUUGGUGACCUGGUCUGUCUCAUGGAUGGCCACCACCAUCGCCGCCGGGACCGGGAUGGGACCGCGCCCCCGCGGCGGUUGCCGGCUUCGCCUUUCGGCGGUCGGCGCCCCUGCCUGUCCUGUGCCCUCCGAGCCCGGACGCUCCCGUGCGCGCGUCCUCUGCCUCCCCGGCACCCGUUCCCCUCGGUGUAAAAACCGCCAAAUCAGGCGCCGGCUCUGUCCCGUACAAAAGCAAAGCUAGCGGUAGGUGUGGGUGUGCCGCGCAGGAGGAUCGCCUCGCCGGUCAAAGGCGUCGGGAACAGAACAGAAUCCUCUUCGCCGCUCGUGCGACCGCACCGUGGCGAGGCGACCGGUGGCGCGUCGGUUUCAUGGAAUCCGAUGCGCCGCGAGAGCCCCGGGGGUGCCGUCGCCGGGCUCUGCUGGAGUGCUGGUUGCUUCUUGUACUAGCGCCCCCGCCCCCCCGGUCGUUCGCUUGUUGCCAUCCGGCGUCGCUGCUAUCCUGCAACUGCUCCUCACUGCUGCUCGUUUUCAAAGGACGCACCGACACGCGCGCGUGCUCCAUCGGUGAACACACACUACGCCCAAGUACCACGGACUGCGAGCGACCGGACCUGGCUUCUUGCCUUGGCUCCACGCCCAACACGGCGCACAACACUGUGACGUACUCCUUCCCAACGACCAGGGCUGCCUUCUUCUAUCGUCUGGUGCAGAGGUACGGUAGUCGGUAGGGCAUUGUGCUCAACUUCUGAUAGCAUGCAUGUGUGCAAUCGUGAGUUGCGAUUUCUGCCGGAUUAGCGGCUACCCUGGCCAGCGCAGCGAUUUGUGUUUGGGAUAUACCAUCCAUCACAUGGGCGAUUGGGAGCGGGCCCGGGCGUCGCCGCCGGACAGGGCUGACACGCAUGUGGCGGCUGCGUGCAUUAUGCAGCAGCUCCACCUGUUAAAGGAUAGAUGAUGGCAUGAAGGCAUCAUUCAUGGAUCCGGAUGGGCCCCUCUCGCCCCCCCCUGCAAAUCCAAUGCAAUGUUCCUCCCUUCUCCGGAGACGACGAUGCCUCAUCCUCCUCUGCUGAUAUUUUACGUGCAACUGCUGCAGCUGGUUGCGUUUAGCAAGCUGCUGCUGCUCAUGUUCUGAAUUCUCUACUCCGACGCCCGGUUGCCUUUCCUUUUCGAGCUCGAGGGUCGUGACCAAAGAUUGUGGCUCGCUGCUGCAGCUCCGGCGGCAGGAUAUCUCCGUGUGUUCGUUGAGGUCGUUGUACUUGCUGGUCGUCGGACCUGCCUUUUUCUGAAGCGAACGCGAAGCUCUUCUCGAAAGCAGGAAUGCUGCGUACGCGUAAGUAUGUUGGACGGAGACGCUUUUGUCCCUGUACUGUUAUGUCAGGCACGCAGUCGGUGUGACAGCGUCUAGGCCACCAGACAUCCACAUCGAGCAUUCAAGCUCACAUAUGACACAUCAAAUUGAAUAGAGACCCGUGCACCUUUACAAGCACGUUGCUCACUUGCUCUAGCUAAAAAUCUUAGCAAGGCAACGCUAUACAUCUCUCGGCCUGAAUAGUUUUGACGCGAAAGCAAAUGUGCAUCUACUAACUAGGUGAAUACUCCUUCCGUUCCAAAUUAUAGGUCGUUUUAAUUUUUCUAGAUUCGUAAAUAUUAUUAUGCACCUAGACAUACACUAUGGGGGUGUUUGGAAGGAGGAGGCUAAACUUUAGCCCUGUCACGUAGGAUGGUCGNNNNNNNNNNNNNNNNNNNNNNNNNNNNNNNNNNNNNNNNNNNNNNNNNNNNNNNNNNNNNNNNNNNNNNNNNNNNNNNNNNNNNNNNNNNNNNNNNNNNNNNNNNNNNNNNNNNNNNNNNNNNNNNNNNNNNNNNNNNNNNNNNNNNNNNNNNNNNNNNNNNNNNNNNNNNNNNNNNNNNNNNNNNNNNNNNNNNNNNNNNNNNNNNNNNNNNNNNNNNNNNNNNNNNNNNNNNNNNNNNNNNNNNNNNNNNNNNNNNNNNNNNNNNNNNNNNNNNNNNNNNNNNNNNNNNNNNNNNNNNNNNNNNNNNNNNNNNNNNNNNNNNNNNNNNNNNNNNNNNNNNNNNNNNNNNNNNNNNNNNNNNNNNNNNNNNNNNNNNNNNNNNNNNNNNNNNNNNNNNNNNNNNNNNNNNNNNNNNNNNNNNNNNNNNNNNNNNNNNNNNNNNNNNNNNNNNNNNNNNNGUUCGGAUACUAAUUAGGAGGACUAAACAUAAGCUAAUUACAAAACUAAUUGCAGAACCCCUAGGCUAAAUCGCGAGACGAAUCUAUUGAGCCUAAUUAAUCCAUCAUUAGUGAAUGGUUACUGUAGCACCACAUUGUCAAAUCAUGCACUAAUUAGGCUUAAUAGAUUCGUCUCGCGAUUUAGCCUAGGGGUUGUGUAAUUAGUUUUGUAAUUAAUCUAGGUUUAAUACUCCUAAUUAGUGUCCAAACAUUCGAUGUGACGGGGGCUAAAAUUUAGCCCCCUCCUUCCAAACACCCCCUAUAUCUAGAUGCAUAAUAGUAUCUCUGAACUAAAAAAGCUAAAAAAAACUGCAAUUUGGAAUAGAGGGAGUAGUGAUAAACUCUCGGAUUAAUUCAGACGUUGACGAUUUGCAACCUCACAACUGUGUGCUACUGCUGCAUCAAAUGCAGCGUGAGGUAAACAAGUACAUGAUCUGCCGAGAUUCCACCUGUAGCCUACACCCAUUCUGGCUAAGCAAUGUUGUGGGCACAGUGUGGCAUGGCAUGUGUGGAUUCGGCGCGCGGCGGAACAGGGGGGAGGAUUGGACCCGGCCGGAACGGAGUGGGUGUCGACUUGGAGUUGAGGGGCAACCAACCGGAUGAAACGAGGCUGGGCUCCCGGAUGGAUGGACCCAUCUCAACGCACCAUCUCUCCUCCUUGCUCCUACAACACAGCAGUAGUGGUCCGACCAUGAUCCGUGUAUACGAACGCACCCGUCGUCUACGCGGUCUUCUCUUCCACACGGCUAGCCAGUUCCACCUUCCCUUCGUCGCUCAUUUUCUCCCUUCUUAAAAAGACAGCAAGGAAUGCGCUGCUGAACAAUGCAUUACUCUGGCAGCAUAUGCUUCUUUAGUCCCUGCCACGUUUUGCUGGUCCGAAGGGGAUUAUGGAAAUUGGCUACAAUUUGGUAUAUAAUAUAAACAUGAAGGAGGUACUCCCUCUGCCCGUUCUAUAAUAUAAGGCAUCCAAGCAUUUAAAAUUUAUCCUCAAAUAUAAGACAUUGUAGACAUAUUUGAAUGAUUGCCAUUUGAUUCCUUCUAUAAUUAAAAUGGUGGCUGAUUGGUUGAUUAUUACUUUAAGUCUUAAAAGUUCCUUACUAUCUGCAACUACUGUUAACUCAGAAGUAUAUACAUCUUUUACUAAUCUUGCUAAUAUAUUCUAAAAUCUCUAGGAUACUUUGUAUUUCAGGACGGAGGGAGUAAGAGUCGUCGGAACUUCCAAACAUUUCAUCCACGGCUCUCCUGCUUUCUUCUACCUCUUUUGAUUUUCUUUCUUCAUCGAUGGUGUGGGAGUAGUGCCAAUAUGACCUGCCAGCUACAAAUCCUGCUGAAUCCGCAAUCUUAAUCUUGAAAUCCCCAAAGUCCUACCAAAUUUGCUGAAGAUGGUGGAGAUGGGAGAGAGAAAAUUUAGUUGUGGGAAUAGGAAGAAUGGCGUAGCAUACUAUAAUAUAGCAAAUUCCUUGAAAAAGUUGUGCAAGCAAAUAAGAGCAAAAUUAUGUCACGUAGCGAUUUCCAUUUUUUAGCGAAUAAAAAGGAGAGGAGACGGGCCAACAGACAAUUUCAUCGGAUCUUUCAUUCCGAGCUCGUCCGAUCCCAUUUCCCUCGACAAGCCAACUGAACUACUGCUAAUCAUGAAGCCACCAAGCUGGCCUUAUUUAAUAAUUAGCCAUCACAGCUUGUGCUAAAGUUAAAACAUCUCUGUUCUUUUCCUACGUCGUCGGUGCACUUGGAAAUUCAUUACAACCAUGGUUAACUUUUUGAGAUAUCCAUUCUCCUCCACUCCACUCAACGGAUUGGGAGGAGAAACCUCUGUUUACGCUUCACCCUACACUUGCAGUGCACAGCGAAAAAUGAUGACGCAGCCUUUGAAAACAAACUGGCCAUGGCACCCGUGAGCCGUGAAAAUGAAGGAACCACCAUUGUGAACCCCUGCCCAGCACAAUGAGUUGAACCAAGUGCUGGACAUUUGUCACCCAACCCAACUGAUCACUCCUUACCUUGUUUGCUUAGACAUUGAGACGUCAUUACCUAGUUGUUGAUGAUGGUGUGUGUAGUCUUAGCGUGCAAAUAACCCAAGAAACAACUCAUCGCCGAGUGUUUAGCAACAUAACAUUCCAAACGAACGAACCCUGGGCACGAGCUCGUGUUAGCAAAAUGCUUGCCUUGAGAGCUAGCCCUGUUUGAGCUCCGGAGCUGAGGUGAGAAGACAAGAUCCAGCUCCAUCCCCACUGCCCAACGCCUCGCCCCCAUUUUUAGGGGGUGUUUGGGAGGAGUGGGCUAAACUUUAGCCCUGUCAUAUCGGAUGUUCGGAUACUCAUUAGGAGGACUAAACAUAAGCUAAUUACAAAACUAAUUGCAGAACCCCUAGGCUAAAUCGCGAGACGAAUCUAUUAAGCCUAAUUAAUCCAUCAUUAGAGAAUGUUUUUUGUUGGUCCACAGUACAGCAAAANNNNNNNNNNNNNNNNNNNNNNNNNNNNNNNNNNNNNNNNNNNNNNNNNNNNNNNNNNNNNNNNNNNNNNNNNNNNNNNNNNNNNNNNNNNNNNNNNNNNUGGUUACUGUAGCACCACAUUGUCAAUCAUGACCUAAUUAGGCUUAAUAGAUUCGUCUCGCGAUUUAGCCUAGGGGUUGUGUAAUUAAUUUUGUAAUUAGUCUAGAUUUAAUACUCCUAAUUAGUGUCCAAACAUUCGAUAGGAUGGGGGCUAAAAUUUAGCCCCCUCCUCCCAAACACCCCCUUAGGGCCUGUUUGGUAGGGCUUAUUGGACGGCUUCUCGAGCGGCUUCUGGAGAAGCCGUACCAAACGCCCUUCCAAAAAACGGCUUCUCUCGCGAAGCACCCGUGAAGCCGUUUUCCAAUUUGUACUGGGGAGGAGAAGCCCAAAAAACCAGCUCCCCGCGGCUUCCCCUCCAUCCGCGCCCCCCAUGUUACCAAAUUACCCUUCGACUUCGGCAAAAUUACACCGAAUUGCCACCGCCUCCUUUUCCUUUCUUCCUCUCGCGAACCGUUCCUUUCUCUUCUUCUGGUAGCGCCUCCUCCGGUCUGGUCUGGCGGCGGCCGGCAUGGACCCUCCUCCGGCGGCGGGAAACUUGGAUCCGGCGGUCGAAAGGGGUAGAUCCGGUGGUGGGCUCCAAGAUGCGCCAAGCGGAGGGUCCAACGGCGCGCCGUAUGUGUCCGGCGGAGGGGCUGGCGGCGCCCCGUUCUUGUGGCCGGGAGGCCCGCCGACGGGUCCCCUGGGUGCCCUCCUGGCCGCCGCGGGAGUGCCUCCCGGCAUGGUGGCGGGCGCAUGGCCUGGAGGCGCAGCAACCGCGGCGGGCCAGCCACCGGCGCAGCAACCGGCCAUCCCAGCCGCGGCGGGCCUGGCCGCCGGCGCGUGGCCCGGCAUCCCCGGCGCAUGGCCCGGCGUCCCCAGCGCGGGGCCAUCAGCUUCCCAGGCCUCCGGCAUCCCCAACGCCGCCAUGCCCGGAGGAUGGCCGGAGUGGUGGGCCGGAGCAGCGGCGGCGGCUCUAGGGCCGGAUUGGCUCCGUGCCGAUCCUCAACAGGAGACAGCUUCACAGGAGGUUGGAGGCAAUGACGAGCGGCUGCCGGUUCGGGUCACCUCUGGUCCAGUUCGGAGCUCCUCAACUCGUCGGCGAGGUACCCGCGCACCUAGGCCACCACCGGCGGCUAGGACAGCUACUGCUCCUGCAUCUGUGGACGUCGACCUCACCGAUCCAAGGUAAGAACAUAUGAUCCAAUUAAAGUGAUUUCCUUGUUUGAGCCAUUGUGAUUGCUGUUGUGAUUGUUGAAGCCAUUGUGAUUGCUGUUGUGUUUGAGCUCAAGCCAUUGUCUUGCUGUUGUCCUUAGAAAGAAGAACAUGCGUGACGCAUUUGCUAUCUGGGACAUUUUGUUGUGAACUGUGGUGUGUAUUUGGAUUUUUAAAGUUUUGCUUGCUAUCUGGGGUGCCAGGCAUGCAUCAGCUGCUGGCCAUUGCCUUGCAUGGUCAUGAAAUGUGUUUUCUUUAGGGAACUGCAUGCCCAUUCUUGGAUUCAGCAUCCUUCAGUCCUUGUGGUAUAUUAUUAUCCUUCAGUCAUAUGCCCUAAGCAAUAUGCAUGUAGCUAGAUAACAAGAUACACUAGAGUGACAGGCGACAUGCCAAUCUUCUGUGUGACCACUUUCACUCAUUUGCAUCCUGGUUUAAUAAAUGUCUAAGAGUCAAAAAUGGCUCCUCGCAAAUGUUCCAUAUAUGAUAUAUCAUAUAUGUAUAUUACUUCAUAUCAUAGCAUAUUAGUAGAUCAUUAGCAUAUCGCAAUGUUUCAUAUCAUUGCUUUUGCAGACAGCAAUGUAGUAGUACCUGUGCAUUGUUAUUUCCCAGCUAAUUGAAGGUGCGUGGUACGGUGUCUAUCAUCCACUCUUAUGUUGAAGGUGCGUGGCUUGUCGUGGGGUUUGAGAGCCAGAGAAGUUCUAGUCAGAAGUUGAAGACUUGUUCCCCAUCAGGAGUAGGGGAAGUAGGGGAAUGUGCCUUCUCAAUGUUCAGUUUCAUGACUUCUCUGCUGUUUUGAUGUAUUUUUCAAUCCAAGUGAUAAAUUUUUUAUCUGUACUCAUGGAUGAAGCGGGAAAUGAUUUUGACGAAAAUCUUUCCAAGGUUGCAUGAUUGUUUUGUUCUUAAGUGGUUUCUGCAUUCUUGGGCCAAAUGUUACAGAUUGAUUCUGGAGGUUUGAUCCUGAUAAGACUUAUCCAAGACUAAACAAAUUUCUUAUGCAAAGAAAUAGUAGUUCAGCCAUAUUUAUUUUCUUUUGUACACAUUUUUUUUCACUUUCAUGGUUAUCUCACUUGCAUUUCUUUAUACUUACUGUUAUACAAUUUCAGUCUCAAAUUUGAUUGGUAGUUGUCAUUCUUUUACUGGUGACAGACCAUCAUAUGACCUGCAAUCCUAGGACUUUAGGUAACCUGAUGUGUCGGUCACCACUAUGGUCCAGUAACUUGUUCAUCUUAAGCUAAACACUCCAGGUGAAAGUCAUAAGCAAUUCCGAAUGAAUGCAUCUCUAUUUUACAAGUUGCAUGAUCUGUUAGUGGGUAGCUAUGGACUAAAAUCAUCUCUUCAUAUGAGUUCUAUGGAAUCAUUGGCUAUUUUCCUACUUGUGUGUGGGCAUGGUACUUCUACCAGUGGUGUACAUGGUAUAUUCAAGCACUCCGCAGAAACAAUUAGUAGAAAAUUUGAGGAGGUAUUGAUAUGUAUGGUGGCUAUGAGUGCAGACUACAUAAAGCCAAUUGACCCUAAUUUCUCUACUACACAUCCUAGGAUUAGUAAUGAUCGUAGGAUGAUGCCACACUUUAAAGAUUGCAUUGGAGCUUUGGAUGGCACUCACAUUUCAGCGACACAAAAUGUUCUUGGUAUUGUUGAUUUCGACAUGAGGUUCACUUAUGCAUCUAUUGGUCAGCCCGGGUCUAUGCAUGAUACUAAUGUUCUCUUCCAUGCACUUCGACAUGAUCACUCUACCUUUCCACACCCCCCUCUAGGUAUGUCGGAUCACCUACCUUAUCUUUUCUCAUGUCUAUACAUGAAUGCGCGUGGCUCACAACCUUCAUUUUUUUACAUGUGUAUUUAGGAAAGUAUUAUAUGGUUGAUGCCGGGUACCCAAAUAGACCUGGAUACUUGGCACCAUACAAGGGUGAAAGGUAUCAUGUGCCAGAUUGGAGGAGAGGUCCUGCUCCAAAUGGUGAGCAAGAACAUUUUAACCAUUUGCAUUCAAGUAUUCGCAAUGUGGUAGAGCGCUCUUUUGGUGUGUGGAAAAUGAAGUGGAGAAUCCUUCUCAAGAUGCCGAGUUACCCAAUGGAGAAGCAAAUGAUGAUAGUUGCCGCAACCAUGUGUCUCCAUAACUUCAUUCGUGAAAACCACACACAAGAUAAGGAUUUCCGCAAAUGCGAUCGGAAUCCCGAUUAUAUGCCCACUAUACCUUCAAGAUAUAGGAAGCACUAUGUCUCUCAAGAUGCUGGAGAUACAUCCAACAUGGAAACAGAUGAUCGGACCAUGGAUAAAUUCCGAGAUGAUCUUGCUAGAGCAAUCUUCCUUUCUAGAUCAUCUUGAGUAUGUCAGUUAGCUUAUAUGGUUGCAUGCUAUGUAAGGAUGGUAGCUAUUAUUUAUGAACCGUGAUGAAUUCAAAUAUUAAAAAAAAAUCAGCUGAAUUUUUUUGAGAGAAAUACAGGAGUAGCAAUUA